This is a non-coding RNA of Podarcis lilfordi (Lilford's wall lizard), 72 nucleotides long. Lineage: Eukaryota; Metazoa; Chordata; Lepidosauria; Squamata; Lacertidae. The record is from the annotation of a GenBank genome assembly.
ACCAGAUAGCUCAGUCAGUAGAACAUGAGACUCUUAAUCUCAGGGCUGUGAGUUCAAGCACCAUGUUGGGUA